CCUCGGUUGACGGAGCAGCGCUAGCUGCAACCGCCGCGGGGGCAGAUGGCGUAACUGCCGACUCACUGCUUGUGGGUCGGACAGCCGCCGGAGGCCGUUCUGACGCUGCCCCCUGACGCGCCACAUCGGCUAAGGUUUGGCGGCCUCGACAGCUCUGUGAACUGUGACCGAAACGCUGGCAUUUGAAGCAACGCAGGGGAUUUGGAACGUAUGGGCGAACACGGAGCUUGAUAUAGCCGGCCUCGGUGGACUCGGGCAGUACACAUGUGCCAAAUUUUUGGAACACAACCGAGCCAAUAUGGACCUUUACUACAGCGGACACUGCAAAUUCUGGCCUUUCUUGUCUAGUAGACGUCAGGGAAAGUGUCACUGGAAGUUGCACAUAUUUCCGAAGAUCUCACUACACCUCAAGCACAAAAGAGAGGAAGACUGUCCAGCUCAAGGGGUAUAAUUCUCCAGGAAACGGCUUCGACCAACCAGCCAUGCUACUUUAUUAUACAACAAAUGCCACGCCGUAUGCCGUGGAGCAAUUACUGUACGAAAGUUACGACAGCAGCUGUGGUGUCAUUAAGUUCUCUAUGCAUCGGACCGCCCUCAGACUUGACCUACGAGUGAAGAAUUCUUCGAUACAGAAGGGACCCGACCCUACCUGUUUGCGCUAUUUUCUAAAAUCGUAUGACUACUACCAAGGAAAGCGUCAGUACAGACUUCUGAAGAAUAUGACAAUCUACAAUUCUUCAUGUCAAGCAAUAAUUCAAUUCACUCAAAGUGGCUGUUAAUCGACAUGGGCACUACACUUCAGAAUGUACUAAGGAAACAGGAGGCUGGGACCACAUUCUUCAGGAUUGUUUUGAAUUACCGUUCUUUUCUUCCCCUUCGUCUCUGGGUUGCACGAUUCCACUUCCUUUGCGCGGUAUUUCGUAGGCCAAUAAAUCAAUUCCUUAUGUUCAGUUUCCUUGAAACUUGUGCCUCAAUUCCAGGGACUUCUGCAAGUUUCACCGUUGGCUAUACA
Dermacentor albipictus is the source of this 1012-nucleotide non-coding RNA. NCBI's taxonomy places the organism in Eukaryota, Metazoa, Arthropoda, Arachnida, Ixodida, Ixodidae. The record is from RefSeq and is a predicted model, not a curated record.